GACGAACGCUGGCGGCGUGCUUAACACAUGCAAGUCGAACGGAAAGGCCCUGCCUUUGUGGGGUGCUCGAGUGGCGAACGGGUGAGUAACACGUGAGUAACCUGCCAUUGACUUUGGGAUAACUUCAGGAAACUGGGGCUAAUACCGGAUAGGAGCUCCUGCUGCAUGGUGGGGGUUGGAAAGUUUCGGCGGUUGGGGAUGGACUCGCGGCUUAUCAGCUUGUUGGUGGGGUAGUGGCUUACCAAGGCUUUGACGGGUAGCCGGCCUGAGAGGGUGACCGGCCACAUUGGGACUGAGAUACGGCCCAGACUCCUACGGGAGGCAGCAGUGGGGAAUAUUGCACAAUGGGCGGAAGCCUGAUGCAGCAACGCCGCGUGCGGGAUGACGGCCUUCGGGUUGUAAACCGCUUUCGCCUGUGACGAGGCGUGAGUGACGGUAAUGGGUAAAGAAGCACCGGCUAACUACGUG
This 468-nucleotide ribosomal RNA is filed under the name uncultured bacterium. Its description in RNAcentral is "partial 16S ribosomal RNA". It matches the Rfam family "Bacterial small subunit ribosomal RNA", at positions 28 to 507 of the family's 1533-position model. The record is from RNAcentral.